This 67-nucleotide transfer RNA is filed under the name Pseudococculinidae sp. MNHN-IM-2013-40847. RNAcentral's name for it is "tRNA-His". It matches the Rfam family "tRNA". From Rfam's summary of the family: Transfer RNA (tRNA) molecules are approximately 80 nucleotides in length. Their secondary structure includes four short double-helical elements and three loops (D, anti-codon, and T loops). Further hydrogen bonds mediate the characteristic L-shaped molecular structure. tRNAs have two regions of fundamental functional importance: the anti-codon, which is responsible for specific mRNA codon recognition, and the 3' end, to which the tRNAs corresponding amino acid is attached (by aminoacyl-tRNA synthetases). tRNAs cope with the degeneracy of the genetic code in two manners: having more than one tRNA (with a specific anti-codon) for a particular amino acid; and 'wobble' base-pairing, i.e. permitting non-standard base-pairing at the 3rd anti-codon position. Lineage: Eukaryota; Metazoa; Mollusca; Gastropoda; Lepetellida; Pseudococculinidae. The record is from RNAcentral.
AUCAAGUUAGUGUAAGUUCAACACGUUAAACUGUGACUUUAAAAAUAAAAAUUAAUUUUACUUGAUA